This 228-nucleotide unclassified non-coding RNA is filed under the name Hevea brasiliensis (rubber tree). Lineage: Eukaryota; Viridiplantae; Streptophyta; Magnoliopsida; Malpighiales; Euphorbiaceae. The record is from RNAcentral.
GUCAAACCCACUCUAGGUAGAGGCUUGCUUAGUUAGCUCUUUGAUAGGUGUCUGCAAAGGCAUUAUUGUAAGGGCAUGGCAUUUUUAUUGUCCAUGUUUGUUUUAAUUAAAUUAUCAAAGAACCUUGUUGAUCAAUUAUUCUAUCUGCUGGAAUCUUGUUAUAACUUUUUAUUUUUUAGUGUCAAAAGAGAGCUAUGUAAUUCAUGUGCACUCUUAAUUCUCUUUUAG